RNAcentral lists this ribosomal RNA (752 nucleotides) under uncultured bacterium. Its description in RNAcentral is "bacterial SSU rRNA". It matches the Rfam family "Bacterial small subunit ribosomal RNA", at positions 94 to 863 of the family's 1533-position model. The record is from RNAcentral.
AGUGGCGGACGGGUGAGUAACGCGUGAGUACCUGCCUUUCGGAGGGGGACAACAGCUGGAAACGGCUGCUAAUACCGCAUAAUGUAUAUUAAGGGCAUCCUUGAUAUACCAAAGAUUUAUCGCCGAAAGAUGGACUCGCGUCUGAUUAGCUAGUUGGUAGGGUAAUGGCCUACCAAGGCUUCGAUCAGUAGCCGGACUGAGAGGUUGAACGGCCACAUUGGGACUGAGAUACGGCCCAGACUCCUACGGGAGGCAGCAGUGGGGAAUAUUGGGCAAUGGGCGCAAGCCUGACCCAGCAACGCCGCGUGAAGGAAGAAGGCUUUCGGGUUGUAAACUUCUUUGACGAGGGACGAAAAAAAUGACGGUACCUCGAAAACAAGCCACGGCUAACUACGUGCCAGCAGCCGCGGUAAUACGUAGGUGGCAAGCGUUAUCCGGAUUUACUGGGUGUAAAGGGCGCGUAGGCGGGAUUGCAAGUCAGAUGUGAAAUGUGAGGGCUUAACCCUCAAGCUGCAUUUGAAACUGUAGUUCUUGAGUAUUGGAGGGGCCAGGCGGAAUUCCUAGUGUAGCGGUGAAAUGCGUAGAUAUUAGGAGGAACACCAGUGGCGAAGGCGGCCUGCUGGACGACAACUGACGCUGAGGCGCGAAAGCGUGGGGAGCAAACAGGAUUAGAUACCCUGGUAGUCCACGCUGUAAACGAUGAAUACUAGGUGUGGGGGGACUACUUCUCCGUGCCGCAGUUAACACAAUAA